This 465-nucleotide ribosomal RNA is filed under the name uncultured bacterium. RNAcentral's name for it is "SSU rRNA". It matches the Rfam family "Bacterial small subunit ribosomal RNA", at positions 26 to 518 of the family's 1533-position model. The record is from RNAcentral.
AGGACUAACGCUGGCGGCGUGCCUAACACAUGCAAGUCGAACGAAGUAGCAAUACUUAGUGGCAGACGGGUGAGUAACACGUAGUCAACCUGCCCUUCAAUGGGGGAUAACUAGCCGAAAGGUUAGCUAAUACCGCAUACGAUCUCUGAGUGGCAUCACUCGGCGAUGAAAGGAGUAAUCCGUUGAAGGAGGGGACUGCGUCCCAUUAGUUAGUUGGUGGGGUAAUGGCCUACCAAGACUCCGAUGGGUAGCUGGCUUGAGAGAGCGACCAGCCACACUGGAACUGAGACACGGUCCAGACUCCUACGGGAGGCAGCAGUGAGGAAUUUUCCGCAAUGGGGGAAACCCUGACGGAGCGACGCCGCGUGUGGGAAGAAGGCCUUCGGGUCGUAAACCACUGUCGAGGGGGACGAUAUUGACGGUACCCCUGGAGGAAGCCCCGGCUAACUACGUGCCAGCAGCCGC